UCGGAAGGGUCUGCGCAGCCGUCGGUGCGCGGCUUAGCCGGGGGUUAAAAGGAAAAACAAUCAUCGCGAACUGAAUGAAAGCACGUUCAUUUCUCACGAUGUGGACGGUUGUCGCAGCAUGUAAAACGCCUCGUUUCUGCUGCUGCGGACCGCUGGCGAGCCGCCAUGCUUGUGCGGGUCCACGCCGACGACGCCCCCUCUCGCCGCAGAACCUCGGCGCUGGGGAUCGGCCUUCCCAUCAUGAGAAGAAAGCACAGAAAUCUUUUCGGCCCCGAACUGAGCUGUAAAUUCUGAGAGAAUCCGACACCCGCCGCCCGAGGGUUACAGCAGAACGCUAACGAGGCCACGGCGACAUUUCCAUCAGCGUACAGUCAGCCGCGCCAUACAUCAGCGCCGCCCCCAACGUCUCCCAGCCACGCGUGAAGUCAGUGACGAAUCCAGACGCAACACUUUAUUAGAACCCCCCACCCCCGUCCACGCUGUAAUGAAUGAGGCCAUUUAAACAGGAUUUACGAGAUCUUUAAAACUUGAUUGCUUAGAAUUUGAGAAUUAUUCAUAAGACCAAAGCAUCGUUUGUCAUACAGCGAGUGCUGUUUGGGUGGUGGACGGAUGGUUUUGUUGUAGCUUUUCCUGCGCUCUUCCAAUGAGCCGUUUGCAUGCAGAUGCGUCCGACCGACGGCUGUAAUUAAAGGCAAUGAGGCUCAGUUACGUUUGCUGAUUUCCGCCAUGAGAGAGGAAGAGGCUUCCUCGCCUUGUUACUAAGAUUAUUGUGCGCACUUCCUGAGGCAGUGUGACCGUGCUUUGUGUGCAGUGCCCAGAUCAUCUCGUAAUUACACAAGGAUCCCAAGGCAGAGGGUGGAGACCCAAGUGAAGGACCAGUUCACUCACACACACACACACACACACACACUGCUGUAGCUCGGGGGCAUGGCUUACUAUUGCCACAGCCAAGAAUGAGGCCUCUCAGGACAGAUUUACACACAAAUAAAACCAAGUCUUAUCGUGGCCCACAUGUGAACGAGAGCUGAUUACACGGUCUACAUUUCAAUGCUCCGAUUGAGUGGAGUCAACUUUCUGUGGCCCAUUUAACCAGAUUCCAACCCGCGAACACAAGGACGCCCGAUCCGAUACCCACUUAGGAACUGCUAGGAGACCGUUUAGGAGGUUGAAGUUUUAAGUAAUGUUAGUUUCACAAAACUUCCUCACAUCAUUGUCGGCACAUCGAUAUUUAUCACACAGUCUUGAAAUGUCAACCGGCUGUAAACGUAGUUGGUUUACAUAUACGAUGUACUUAUUAACCAGCACGUUUUCUACAGAGCGACUAAUAAUGAGAGCAAUGGCAUCAGCUAGAUCAUCCAAUCAGAGACCUGCAGAGAUUGGCUUGACUGAUCACCUCGAAGGCACCCAUAGCACACGCGUCACCAGUAAGAAAAGGGCUUC
Molecule: long non-coding RNA, 1440 nt
Organism: Gasterosteus aculeatus aculeatus (three-spined stickleback)
Lineage: Eukaryota; Metazoa; Chordata; Actinopteri; Perciformes; Gasterosteidae
Source: Ensembl